RNAcentral lists this ribosomal RNA (24 nucleotides) under Pezicula acericola. RNAcentral describes it as "partial 28S ribosomal RNA". Lineage: Eukaryota; Fungi; Ascomycota; Leotiomycetes; Helotiales; Dermateaceae. The record is from RNAcentral.
GGUUGACCUCGGAUCAGGUAGGUA